This 492-nucleotide ribosomal RNA is filed under the name uncultured Methanosaeta sp. Its description in RNAcentral is "bacterial SSU rRNA". It matches the Rfam family "Archaeal small subunit ribosomal RNA", at positions 847 to 1338 of the family's 1478-position model. The record is from RNAcentral. Lineage: Archaea; Methanobacteriati; Methanobacteriota; Methanomicrobia; Methanotrichales; Methanotrichaceae.
CUCAGAAACUUAAAGGAAGUGGACGGGGAGCACUACAACGGGUGGAGCCUGCGGUUUAAUUGGAUUCAACGCCGGAAAUCUCACCGGGGCGACAGCAAUAUGAAGGUCAGGCUGAAGACCUUACCCGAUUAGCUGAGAGGUGGUGCAUGGCCGUCGUCAGUUCGUACUGUGAAGCAUCCUGUUAAGUCAGGCAACGAGCGAGACCCACGUCCACAGUUGCCAGCAUACCCCUCCGGGGUGAUGGGUACACUGUGGAGACCGCCGCUGCUAAAGCGGAGGAAGGAGUGGGCAACGGUAGGUCAGUAUGCCCCGAAUCUCCCGGGCUACACGCGGGCUACAAUGGUUGGUACAAUGGGCAUCUACCCCGAAAGGGGAAGGAAAUCUCUUAAAGCCAAUCGUAGUUCGGAUUGAGGGCUGCAACUCGCCCUCAUGAAGCUGGAAUCCGUAGUAAUCGCGUUUCAACAGAACGCGGUGAAUACGUCCCUGCUCCUU